This 1444-nucleotide ribosomal RNA is filed under the name Mycolicibacterium smegmatis. RNAcentral's name for it is "bacterial SSU rRNA". It matches the Rfam family "Bacterial small subunit ribosomal RNA". The record is from RNAcentral. Lineage: Bacteria; Bacillati; Actinomycetota; Actinomycetes; Mycobacteriales; Mycobacteriaceae.
GGCGGCGUGCUUAACACAUGCAAGUCGAACGGAAAGGCCCUUUCGGGGGUACUCGAGUGGCGAACGGGUGAGUAACACGUGGGUGAUCUGCCCUGCACUUUGGGAUAAGCCUGGGAAACUGGGUCUAAUACCGAAUACACCCUGCUGGUCGCAUGGCCUGGUAGGGGAAAGCUUUUGCGGUGUGGGAUGGGCCCGCGGCCUAUCAGCUUGUUGGUGGGGUGAUGGCCUACCAAGGCGACGACGGGUAGCCGGCCUGAGAGGGUGACCGGCCACACUGGGACUGAGAUACGGCCCAGACUCCUACGGGAGGCAGCAGUGGGGAAUAUUGCACAAUGGGCGCAAGCCUGAUGCAGCGACGCCGCGUGAGGGAUGACGGCCUUCGGGUUGUAAACCUCUUUCAGCACAGACGAAGCGCAAGUGACGGUAUGUGCAGAAGAAGGACCGGCCAACUACGUGCCAGCAGCCGCGGUAAUACGUAGGGUCCGAGCGUUGUCCGGAAUUACUGGGCGUAAAGAGCUCGUAGGUGGUUUGUCGCGUUGUUCGUGAAAACUCACAGCUUAACUGUGGGCGUGCGGGCGAUACGGGCAGACUAGAGUACUGCAGGGGAGACUGGAAUUCCUGGUGUAGCGGUGGAAUGCGCAGAUAUCAGGAGGAACACCGGUGGCGAAGGCGGGUCUCUGGGCAGUAACUGACGCUGAGGAGCGAAAGCGUGGGGAGCGAACAGGAUUAGAUACCCUGGUAGUCCACGCCGUAAACGGUGGGUACUAGGUGUGGGUUUCCUUCCUUGGGAUCCGUGCCGUAGCUAACGCAUUAAGUACCCCGCCUGGGGAGUACGGCCGCAAGGCUAAAACUCAAAGGAAUUGACGGGGGCCCGCACAAGCGGCGGAGCAUGUGGAUUAAUUCGAUGCAACGCGAAGAACCUUACCUGGGUUUGACAUGCACAGGACGCCGGCAGAGAUGUCGGUUCCCUUGUGGCCUGUGUGCAGGUGGUGCAUGGCUGUCGUCAGCUCGUGUCGUGAGAUGUUGGGUUAAGUCCCGCAACGAGCGCAACCCUUGUCUCAUGUUGCCAGCACGUUAUGGUGGGGACUCGUGAGAGACUGCCGGGGUCAACUCGGAGGAAGGUGGGGAUGACGUCAAGUCAUCAUGCCCCUUAUGUCCAGGGCUUCACACAUGCUACAAUGGCCGGUACAAAGGGCUGCGAUGCCGUGAGGUGGAGCGAAUCCUUUCAAAGCCGGUCUCAGUUCGGAUCGGGGUCUGCAACUCGACCCCGUGAAGUCGGAGUCGCUAGUAAUCGCAGAUCAGCAACGCUGCGGUGAAUACGUUCCCGGGCCUUGUACACACCGCCCGUCACGUCAUGAAAGUCGGUAACACCCGAAGCCGGUGGCCUAACCCUUGUGGAGGGAGCCGUCGAAGGUGGGAUCGGCGAUUGGGACGAAGUCGUAAC